Candida albicans SC5314 is the source of this 113-nucleotide non-coding RNA. NCBI's taxonomy places the organism in Eukaryota, Fungi, Ascomycota, Pichiomycetes, Serinales, Debaryomycetaceae. The record is from Rfam.
UCGAGUUUGGUUAGUUGCGCGUUCGGAACUUGUCAACUUUAAAAUUACAGAGAAAAUUAGCAUUUCCCCUGCAUAAGGACGGAACGCUUUACAAAGAGAUUUACCAUUUUUUU